UGUCAAGGUGAUGUGCAGAGGGGUUACAGUUACAAACAUAAGUACCCAAAUAAGAAUAGGAGAGUGAGUAGUGACCCCUUGAGACUGUUGAAGUUAUUCAUUGUCCUCAGAAUCAUGUAUACAUCAAGCAGUGCAAGAAGGUGAACCAACAUUCCACAUCUAUUCACCAAAGAUUGUAGCUGUAAAAUCUGUCUACAAUUCUACAUGAUGUGAAAAAUGAAAGUAAUUAUGAUUACUAAUGAUGAUUUAAUUGUAUAGUUAAAUGUUUAUUUCUAAAUUUUUCAUGCAAAUAAGUUCAUAAUUAGGAAAACAAGUUACUUGGCCAGUUAAUCAGGUUUUGUUUUAGUCUUGUUGUUUGGGCUAAAAUGUACUCCAGGAUGUCAUCUGUGAUUUGGAAUAUUAAAAAAAAUGCUUAAGGGUGAGCCUUUAGAAAGCAAUGUCCCUACAUUGCCAAGCAUGGAGUGGGAUGUGUUUGAUGGAAAGAAAAGCUUGGAAAACCUGAAACAUGAGAAGAAAUCAGAAUGAGAGACGA
This is a long non-coding RNA of Dipodomys ordii (Ord's kangaroo rat), 532 nucleotides long. RefSeq lists it as uncharacterized. The record is from RefSeq and is a predicted model, not a curated record. Lineage: Eukaryota; Metazoa; Chordata; Mammalia; Rodentia; Heteromyidae. The transcript has 3 exons.